This 253-nucleotide ribosomal RNA is filed under the name uncultured bacterium. Its description in RNAcentral is "partial 16S ribosomal RNA". It matches the Rfam family "Bacterial small subunit ribosomal RNA", at positions 524 to 776 of the family's 1533-position model. The record is from RNAcentral.
UACGGAGGAUGCAAGCGUUAUCCGGAAUUAUUGGGCGUAAAGCGUCCGCAGGUGGCGAUGUAAGUCUGCUGUUAAAGAGUGAGGCUCAACCUCAUAAGAGCAGUGGAAACUACAUAGCUAGAGUGCGGUAGGGGCAGAGGGAAUUCCUGGUGUAGCGGUGAAAUGCGUAGAGAUCAGGAAGAACACCGGUGGCGAAAGCGCUCUGCUAGGCCGCAACUGACACUGAGGGACGAAAGCUAGGGGAGCGAAUGGG